AUUGAACGCUGGCGGCAGGCCUAACACAUGCAAGUCGAGCGGAUGAAGGGAGCUUGCUCCUGGAUUCAGCGGCGGACGGGUGAGUAAUUCCUAGGAAUCUGCCCGGUAGUGGGGGAUAACGUCCGGAAACGGGCGCUAAUACCGCAUACGUCCUGAGGGAGAAAGGGGGGGAUCUUCGGACCUCACGCUAUUAGCUGAGCCUAGGUCGGAUUAGCUAGUUGGUGGGGUAAAGGCCUACCAAGGCGACGAUCCGUAACUGGUCUGAGAGGAUGAUCAGUCACACUGGAACUGAGACACGGUCCAGACUCCUACGGGAGGCAGCAGUAGGGAAUAUUGGACAAUGGGCGAAAGCCUGAUCCAGCCAUGCCGCGUGUGUGAAGAAGGUCUUCGGAUUGUAAAGCACUUUAAGUUGGGAGGAAGGGCAGUAAGUUAAUACCUUGCUGUUUUGACGGUACCAACAGAAUAAGCACCGGCUAACUUCGUG
Molecule: ribosomal RNA, 484 nt
Filed under: uncultured bacterium
Lineage: Bacteria
Description: partial 16S ribosomal RNA
Rfam family: Bacterial small subunit ribosomal RNA
Source: RNAcentral